Long non-coding RNA from Ruditapes philippinarum (Manila clam), 5768 nucleotides. RefSeq lists it as uncharacterized. NCBI's taxonomy places the organism in Eukaryota, Metazoa, Mollusca, Bivalvia, Venerida, Veneridae. The transcript has 5 exons. The record is from RefSeq and is a predicted model, not a curated record.
GAUUAAAGUUAUAUUCCUGGUCAAAUUCAUCAAAACAGAUUGUCAAAUUAACGCCUUAUUGUUAUCAAAUGCAUUAUUUAACUAGUAUUGACAAAGUUUUCCAACUUAGAAACGCUCUCCGUAAUAUUUCUGACCAUUCUAAAAAAUGCAUUUUCUUAUUUGACUGGGUUAGUCAAAUAAGAUUUAUAUUUUGGCGGGAAGCCCUUCGAUUAUUUCCGUAAAUGUUCGGAUCUGAGUCACGUGAUAUGAUUUACCAAACCAAAAUAAUGGCGGACAAUACGAAAGGUGUGUCACGUAUGUAUACGAGAAAUAAAUUUUGAGAUUGGAGAAGGAAAAAGCGAAAAGUGGAAAGAAACUGUGAUUUAAUUCAAUCAAGGAUAUACUCCGGUAGUGAUUCAAAGCGAUGAAAAGUUCUUAAAAGGGUAAUUAAAACCAAAAGCGACCGUGAAGUUGUUGUCUGAUUGACAGGUGAGGUGAUCAUCGUUUUUGUUUGCAUUUAAUUUUUUCUUGGUCUUAGAUCUACUAUAGAAAAAUUUCACCUACGAAUAUAUAAACACAGAUAUUGUGUUAUAGUUUUUAGGAUGGUUUUGACUUAUGAUAAAGAAAUUAAGCUUGCAGAUCCACGACUGUGUAUCAAGUUUUCGUUCACUGUAAUUUUCGUACCAAUAAAUAAAUUGUAAACAGGUUAAAUAAAAGAUCGGCUGAGCCUAAUCCUUUACAAUUUUAUGGCGUAUGUUCAUUGUAACCAUUGUAAUAUCGUUUAAGAUGGCCAAUCACUAUCUUUUAAGAAUCAUUUAAGACACAACAAAAUUAUAUUUUGAAUAACUUUUAUUUUCCAAUCACAUUAUUGUUUUUUACUGUAAGCUGUACUGUAUAGUAACUACAAUGCUGUGAAAUAGAUUAGCCACAUGUGUCUCAAAAAGGGUUGGAACCAUUGACUAGCAGAACAGGCAUUUCUUCAAAGCAUUUUCAACUAUCAAGGGUAGUCCUAUAAAUGUGAUGUCCUUUGAUUUUGAGAUAUUUUUGCUUUUGGGCAACCUUGACCGACAUUUAAGCAAUAACAAGCCCGUAAGUCUGAUAUAUUGAUCUACUACCCAGGGUUGUUGAAUCUUCAAAGAAAUAAAGUAGAAAAAAUAAAAUGUUGUCUCAACUUGUCUGGAAAAUUGCACAAAAAUCAAUAUUUUUGUCUCAUUUGAAUCAUUUUUGCAGUAAAAUUUCAGCAUUUCACAAUUUGAAAAAUAAUCAUGGACAAUAACCAUAAUUGUGCUGGAAAUGUUAGAUAAUUCUUAUUGACAACCCUUCUUCCUUAUAAGCAGUGCAGCAAUUCAUGUAUUGUAAUUGGCUUGAAUAGUCAAGAUUUUAGGCCAUGGUACUAGUAUGCUAUAUUUUCAAUUACAGAAAUAAAUCAAUUUCAUCGUCAUCAUGUGUUGCAAAACCACUACCAGGGACAUCAAAGAUGACCUGGACUUCAGUGCAUAUGCAGAGGGGAGUAGCACUAAAGAAAGCCAAUAAAAUCCUUUUGGAAUUGAAUUGAGACACAACCAUUCAUUUCUGGUUUAGUUAUAAAACUGCUACAGACUAUAAACUAUUCAUGAUGAUGGAAUACACUAAUGCCUGGUACAAUCAUGGCCCAUUAGAAACCAGAACAAACCAUGGCUGCAAAGGAAAUAAGAUGCACGUCAUAGUCUGAAAGAUCUGGCUGGUGUUCUGAAUAAGAUGACAUAAUAUCUCAACUGCAGAAGUACAGCUGGCAUGUAGGGGUUUCACCAGCACAUCUUGAUGUAUUGUACCAAACGAUUUGCUUACACACCACCUGUUUAUAGGAUGCACAAUCUUCUUGCAGCCAUAGAUUAUAAUAUACAUGCAAAUAGACCAUACAUCACCAACAAGGGGGAUCUGUUAGACUUCAGCGAGUCUGGAUGAAUUAAAGAAGAAGAAAAAGUAUCAUUAUACCAUUUUUCAUGAUGCUAUAACUCUGAGGAUUAGUGACAUUGAGGGGAUAUAUAAAAUAGAAAGUUAGAGGAAGAUAACCCCCACAGACUUUCAAAAUAUUUGGCCCAAGUUAGCCGGAAGCCUACCCGAGCCAUUCAUGAGGAACAUAAAUCAAGAUAUGAUUGACUUUUUAUGGAAAAGAAUGAUAAAUAGUGUGUUACACUGAUUGCCCAACUAUUGAAACAUAUUUAAGCUGACAUUGAAUACCUGGUAUUCAUGAUAGUUAUAUGAAAUAUCUUUUUAGAUAUGGCACUGUAUCUAUCUUGUUUUGAAAAAAAUUCUCUUGAUUCAUUUGUCAUGACUCAAGGUCUGUUUUUAAUAUUUUGUCAGAAAAAUUACUACUUUUUAUACAAGUGCAAAAUAUUAUCCAAUCUAUUAAACUAUAAGUGCUGCUAUCAGCUUUAAUGUAGUAACAAAGUUAAAAGUAUUAUUCAAUUAUAUCUUUUGAUAUACAUGUACUAUGUCAUUCACUUUAGCUCAGCUUUUCUUUUUUUUUUUUUUUUUGAAAAAAGAAAUAGAGGUUGCUGCCGUUGCCUUCUGCAAACUUGAACCUUGUUCAUAACUUUUAAAGUUCUUGGUGUAUUGUCUAACCUUGGCCUUCAUUCAUAAUUGACCUUGACCUCCAAGGUUAAAUGUCUAAAUUUUGGCUUUGCUUGUUAUUUGCUAUUAGUGGCUUUAACUUUAUUGCCCUUUGUUAAUUUUCAUAUUUCAUUUUUGUCUUGGCCAUUUCUCCUAAACUAUAUUGUUCACAAGGAAACACAUCCGACUCGUUGAGAUCUAGUUGUUAUUAGUCCAUGAAUUGUUUGUAGUCCAAUCUACAAUGACAUAGGGGCAUUUUAUAUAAAAUCCUUGUUCAAUCAAACAAGGCAAGCCUUAAAAUUAUCUUUGUAUUUACUCCCUCAUCCCAUUCCAGUUCAGAUAGGUUAGGUGGGCUGAUAAAAUAUUUAUUUUUGUGCCCCCACUUUAGUGGCGGGCAUUUAGAUUUACCCUUGUCCGUCCAUCCGUAUUUCACCUAGAGUCAUGAAACUUUACUGUAAUGUUGAUCAGCAAGUGUAGUUGUUCACCUUGGUAUUUUCAUCUGGAUAUUUUUAGUAUUUUCAGAGUUACUGCCAUUGAAUUUUUGCAAUUUUCAACUUGUGUCGCAUGUUACUCAAGCAGUAUUUGACCUAGAGCAAUGAAACUUUACAGGAAUGUUGAACAUUAUGUGUAGUUGUGCACCUGGGUAUUUUCGUCUGGAUUUAGUAUUUUGAGAGUUAUGGGCCUUGACUUAGUAAAAUUUUGCAAUUUUCAACUUGUGUCGCAUGUUACUCAAGCAGUAUUUGACCUAGAGCAAUGAAACUUUACAGGAAUGUUGAACAUUAUGUGUAGUUGUGCACCUGGGUAUUUUCGUCUGGAUUUAGUAUUUUGAGAGUUAUGGCCCUUGAUUUAGUAAAAUUUUGCAAUUUUCAACUUGUGUCGCAUGUAACUCAAAAAGUAUUUGACUUACAGUCAUGAAACUUUACAGGAAUGUUGAUCAGCAUGUGUAGUUGCGCAUUUGGGUAUUUUCGUGUGGAUUUAUCCAGUAUUUGUAAAGUUAUUGCCCUUGACUUGGUAAAAUUUUGCAGUUUUCAACUUGUGUCACAUGUAACUCAAAAAGGAUUUGACAUAGAGUCAUUAAACCUUACGGGAAGGUUGCACAGCAUAUUUAGUUUUGCACCUGGGGUUUGGCUUGUGGAUUUAUCCAGUAUUUGUAGUUAUUUCCCUUGACUUAGUAAAAAACGUUUCAUUAUGUUGUUAUUUGUUCCUUGAGUGCUUGAGUGAGAAUCAACCAACUUUACAGGAAUAAUGAUCAACAUCACUAAAUUACAGGAAUAAUGAUUUACAUCACUGUGAAGCUAAGAACCUGGGACUUUCAUGUGGAUUUUUUUCAGUUUUGUUAAGAGUUAUUGCCCUUGACUCACAGUAGUAUAAAUUUACAAUUUUCAACUUGUUAAUGCAUAGCUCAAAAAGUAUUUAUGUUUUCUUUCAUUUCAUUCAGCCAAACAUAAAUAAUUUAACAUUUAACUAUAAUUAAUAUCCUACAGGGAUAAAAUAUAAAUAAGAAAGACAAUAUAGGAGUGGCUACUACAGGUUCACUUUAAUUUAUCAAAUAAUUUACAAUUUUCAACUUGUUCAUGCAUAGCUCAAAAAGUAUUUCACUUGUAGGCCUGAAUGUUUAAAAGAAUGUUGGGCAGCAUGUGUACUUAUGCACCUUGGGGUUAACUUGUGAAUUUAUUCAGUAUUUGUAAAGUUCUUGCCCUUUACUUAGUUAACGAUUUUUAGUUUUCAAAAAAUAUUUGACCUAGAGUCACAAGAUUGACAGAACAGUGGCGCGUAGAGGGGACCCGUGUCCUAUGGACCCAUUCCUAGUUAUCCAAAAUGUUUGUCUUGUUUUAUUUUUCAUUAAAAUUAUAUGUAGUUCAAACAAAUUGUGAAUGCAUGAAAGCAUCAAUUCUGUUUUACUUGAAAAUUUAGAACCAUAUUUUCAGUUUCAAUCAGCAAAUAUCCCAACAUUUGUAUAUUUACAAUUAAAAAAUCACGAGACAGUUAAAAAGAUGUCAUUCUCAUUGACACUCUGAUUUCAUUUUAGUAAACAAAUCCUGGGCAAUAAGAUAUUUUAGGUAGCUGUGCUAUUUGUAGGUAGGUCGCGGGAGUGGGGAACAAACAAUAUUUUACAUUCAGGGGUAAGCCUAAGUUUUUAGGCUUGGUAGGAACAUUGCCCUUCUCAGAUAAUGGCACCAACUGAUUUUGAGGUAAUUAGAUUUAAAGCUCAAUAUGGCAUAAAGUUUAACUUCCUUUAAAUAUGUGUAACAUUGUAAGGUAUAGUUUAUGUAACUCAGAAGGAAAAAUUCUGAUUGCCAUUAGUUUUAAGAUUGGUCCAUUUGAUUAUAAGUUCAAGGUCUCAGUGACAUGUAAACUCAUUGUCCCAAGGUUUUGAACAUUUCCAGGGACAUUGCUUAGAUUAGUAAAUAAAGCAUUAGUUUGGAGUUAAUAAGGUCUAAGGUCACAAUGGCUUAAGCAUAAUAUCCUUCAUCACCAGAAACCCAUAAGGGGUUAGCUCAAGUUCAUACAAUUUGGUUGGAAUUAAGAUAUUAUUUAUUUCCUUCUACAAUAUUGGCCAUCUUCACACUUCCUCUUCCUGUUAAGACAGCAUGGAUUGAAUAAAAAAUAAAACUAUAACUGUAAAGAAGUCACUGUUGUACAAUUUUAAGAGUAAGAAAAAAAGAUAUGCUGUUCAUUUGAAAAUAUUUUAUUGUUGUUUUACUGCCAAUGUUCAAAUACAUGUUUCAAUUUAUCUGUGUUUUUGUUAUUUUAACAACAUUCCAAAAUGUGUCCUGAAACGUGCUAAGAGAAGUGGUGUGUAAAUUAACAUUGAAAGGUAUUUGUAAAACAUUGUUACAAUCUGUGAUCUUAUUUGAAUUUUAAAAAAGUACAUUUGACAUCUGAAAAUAGAGAAAUCAAGAAUUCCUGCAGAAAGCCCAAAAUGACAAAAUUGAAACUGUUGCAGGCUCUAUUUGGUGAGCCUGUUGGAAAGUGCAAGUUACCUUCCAUGCCCCCCUAGCACCAGCUUUAGCAGAAUUCAACAUUUGAACAUAAAGUGGUGAAAUUUAUGGUUUUAUGCCAUACCGGUGUACAUAAUCCAGAGAUUAGGAUUUAAUUCUUGGCAAUCUUAUUUUCAGUGGAAUGCAACUGUUCAUUGUUAACAGAAUAAUAUUUACACAGGUUGCACUGUGUUUGUAUUGGAAUGAAAUUCUCAU